RNAcentral lists this ribosomal RNA (450 nucleotides) under uncultured bacterium. RNAcentral describes it as "partial 16S ribosomal RNA". It matches the Rfam family "Bacterial small subunit ribosomal RNA", at positions 354 to 796 of the family's 1533-position model. The record is from RNAcentral.
GUGGGGAAUAUUGGACAAUGGGCGAAAGCCUGAUCCAGCCAUGCCGCGUGUGUGAAGAAGGUCUUCGGAUUGUAAAGCACUUUAAGUUGGGAGGAAGGGCAGUAAGCUAAUACCUUGCUGUUUUGACGUUACCGACAGAAUAAGCACCGGCUAACUUCGUGCCAGCAGCCGCGGUAAUACGAAGGGUGCAAGCGUUAAUCGGAAUUACUGGGCGUAAAGCGCGCGUAGGUGGUUUUGUAAGUUGAAGGUGAAAUCCCCGGGCUCAACCUGGGAACUGCCUCCAAAACUGCAUGACUAGAGUACGGUAGAGGGUAGUGGAAUUUCCUGUGUAGCGGUGAAAUGCGUAGAUAUAGGAAGGAACACCAGUGGCGAAGGCGACUACCUGGACUGAUACUGACACUGAGGUGCGAAAGCGUGGGGAGCAAACAGGAUUAGAAACCCUUGUAGCCC